UCAUAUGCUUGUCUCAAAGANUAAACCAUGCAUGUCCAAGUACAUACCGCACUAAGGCGAAACCGCAAAUGGCUCAUUAAAUCAGUUACGGUUCCUUGGAUCGUACCCCACUACUUGGAUAACUGUGGUAAUUCUAGAGCUAAUACAUGCAGCAGAGCUCCGACCCUCGGGAACGAGCGCUUUUAUUAGACCAAAACCAAACGGGCCUCAAAAACCCGCAAUCGAAAGUGGUGACUCUGGAUAACUUCGGGCCGAUCGCACGGGCUCGUCCCGGCGACGUAUCUUUCAAGUGUCUGCCUUAUCAACUGUCGAUGGUAGGUCACGCGCCUACCAUGGUCGUAACGGGUGACGGGGAAUCAGGGUUCGAUUCCGGAGAGGGAGCCUGAGAAACGGCUACCACAUCCAAGGAAGGCAGCAGGCGCGCAAAUKWCCCWCUCCCGGCACGGGGAGGUAGUGASGAAAAAUAACGAUAYRRGACUCUUUCGAGACCCCGUAAUCGGAAUGAGCACAGCCCAAACCCUUUCACGAGGAUCCAUUGGAGGGCAAGUCUGGUGCCAGCAGCCGCGGUAAUUC
RNAcentral lists this ribosomal RNA (573 nucleotides) under Nephilengys sp. FAPDNA032. RNAcentral describes it as "bacterial SSU rRNA". It matches the Rfam family "Eukaryotic small subunit ribosomal RNA", at positions 24 to 587 of the family's 1831-position model. Lineage: Eukaryota; Metazoa; Arthropoda; Arachnida; Araneae; Nephilidae. The record is from RNAcentral.